CCUACGGGAGACAGCAGUAGGGAAUAUUGCUCAAUGGGGGAAACCCUGAAGCAGCAACGCCGCGUGGAGGAUGAAGGUUCUCGGAUUGUAAACUCCUUUUGUUAGAGAAGAUAAUGACGGUAUGUAACGAAUAAGCACCGGCUAACAACGUGCCAGCAGCCGCGGUAAGACGGAGGGUGCAAGCGGUACUCGGAAUCACUGGGCGUAAAGAGCGCGUAGGCGGGAUAGAAAGUCAGAUGUGAAAUCCUAUGGCUUAACCAUAGAACUGCAUUUGAAACUGUUAUUCUAGAGUAUGGGAGAGGUAGGUGGAAUGCGUGGUGUAGGGGUAAAAUCCGUAGAGAUCAAGAGGAAUACUCAUUGCGAAGGCGACCUGCUAGAACAUAACUGACGCUGAUGCGCGAAAGCGUGGGGAGCAAACAGGAUUAGAUACCCCAGUAGUC
This 440-nucleotide ribosomal RNA is filed under the name uncultured bacterium. RNAcentral's name for it is "partial 16S ribosomal RNA". It matches the Rfam family "Bacterial small subunit ribosomal RNA", at positions 338 to 795 of the family's 1533-position model. The record is from RNAcentral.